Molecule: unclassified non-coding RNA, 378 nt
Filed under: plant metagenome
Description: partial contains 5.8S ribosomal RNA, internal transcribed spacer 2, and large subunit ribosomal RNA
Rfam family: 5.8S ribosomal RNA (bases 1-105)
Source: RNAcentral
GAAAUGCGAUAAGUAAUGUGAAUUGCAGAAUUCAGUGAAUCAUCGAAUCUUUGAACGCACCUUGCGCUCCUUGGUAUUCCUUGGAGCAUGCCUGUUUGAGUAUCAUGAAAUCUUCAAAGUAAAUCUUUUGUUAACUCAAUUGGUUUCUACUUUGGUAUUGGAGGUCUUUGCAGCUUCACACCUGCUCCUCUUUGUUCAUUAGCUGGAUCUCAGUGUUAUGCUUGGUUCCACUCGGCGUGAUAAGUUAUCUAUCGCUGAGGACACUGUAAAAGGUGGCCAAGGUAAAUGCAGAUGAGCCGCUUCUAAUAGUCCAUUGACUUGAACAAUACUUUUAUGAUCUGAUCUCAAAUCAGGUAGGACUACCCGCUGAACUUAAGC